GCUUCUGUAGCUCAGUUGGUUAGAGCGGUGCAACGUACAGUAAUCGCAGGGCCGCAGGUUCAAUUCCUGCCAGGAACC
Non-coding RNA from Paramuricea clavata, 78 nucleotides. The record is from the annotation of a GenBank genome assembly. Lineage: Eukaryota; Metazoa; Cnidaria; Anthozoa; Malacalcyonacea; Plexauridae.